UACGUAGGUGGCAAGCGUUGUCCGGAAUUAUUGGGCGUAAAGCGCGCGCAGGCGGUUCCUUAAGUCUGAUGUGAAAGCCCCCGGCUCAACCGGGGAGGGCCAUUGGAAACUGGGAGGCUUGAGUAUAGGAGAGAAGAGUGGAAUUCCACGUGUAGCGGUGAAAUGCGUAGAGAUGUGGAGGAACACCAGUGGCGAAGGCGACUCUUUGGCCUAUAACUGACGCUGAGGCGCGAAAGCGUGGGGGAGCAAACAGG
This 254-nucleotide ribosomal RNA is filed under the name uncultured bacterium. RNAcentral's name for it is "partial 16S ribosomal RNA". It matches the Rfam family "Bacterial small subunit ribosomal RNA", at positions 524 to 776 of the family's 1533-position model. The record is from RNAcentral.